Molecule: small RNA, 137 nt
Filed under: Carnobacterium divergens
Lineage: Bacteria; Bacillati; Bacillota; Bacilli; Lactobacillales; Carnobacteriaceae
Description: L20_leader
Rfam family: Ribosomal protein L20 leader
About the family: This family is a putative r-protein leader autoregulatory structure found in B. subtilis and other low-GC Gram-positive bacteria. It is located in the 5' untranslated regions of mRNAs encoding initiation factor 3 followed by ribosomal proteins L35 and L20 (infC-rpmI-rplT).
Source: RNAcentral
AAAACAAAGCAGAAGCACCCGCUUCUCGCCUUAGUAGACAAAUGUCGCUGGGCUAGAUAUAAAAGAUGAUAUCUUGCGUAAUGCAAGUUCGGAUAUUUAUAGGCGGGUUCAUAUAGAACUCGUCUAUUUUUCUGCUG